GAUGAACGCUGGCGGCGUGCCUAACACAUGCAAGUCGAACGAAGCAAUUAAAGGAAGUUUUCGGAUGGAAUUUGAUUGACUGAGUGGCGGACGGGUGAGUAACGCGUGGAUAACCUGCCUCACACUGGGGGAUAACAGUUAGAAAUGACUGCUAAUACCGCAUAAGCGCACAGUGCCGCAUGGUACGGUGUGAAAAACUCCGGUGGUGUGAGAUGGAUCCGCGUCUGAUUAGCCAGUUGGCGGGGUAACGGCCCACCAAAGCGACGAUCAGUAGCCGACCUGAGAGGGUGACCGGCCACAUUGGGACUGAGACACGGCCCAAACUCCUACGGGAGGCAGCAGUGGGGAAUAUUGCACAAUGGGCGAAAGCCUGAUGCAGCGACGCCGCGUGAGUGAAGAAGUAUUUCGGUAUGUAAAGCUCUAUCAGCAGGGAAGAAAAUGACGGUACCUGACUAAGAAGCCCCGGCUAACUACGUGCCAGCAGCCGCGGUAAUACGUAGGGGGCAAGCGUUAUCCGGAUUUACUGGGUGUAAAGGGAGCGUAGACGGCGAAGCAAGUCUGAAGUGAAAACCCAGGGCUCAACCCUGGGACUGCUUUGGAAACUGUUUUGCUAGAGUGUCGGAGAGGUAAGUGGAAUUCCUAGUGUAGCGGUGAAAUGCGUAGAUAUUAGGAGGAACACCAGUGGCGAAGGCGGCUUACUGGACGAUAACUGACGUUGAGG
This 721-nucleotide ribosomal RNA is filed under the name uncultured Lachnospiraceae bacterium. RNAcentral describes it as "bacterial SSU rRNA". It matches the Rfam family "Bacterial small subunit ribosomal RNA", at positions 28 to 751 of the family's 1533-position model. The record is from RNAcentral. Lineage: Bacteria; Bacillati; Bacillota; Clostridia; Lachnospirales; Lachnospiraceae.